UACGUAGGGCGCAAGCGUUAUCCGGAAUUAUUGGGCGUAAAGAGCUCGUAGGCGGUUUGUCGCGUCUGCCGUGAAAGUCCGGGCUCAACUCCGGAUCUGCGGUGGUACGGGCAGACUAGAGUGAUGUAGGGGAGACUGGAAUUCCUGGUGUAGCGGUGAAAUGCGCAGAUAUCAGGAGGAACACCGGUGGCGAAGGCGGCGUCCUGGACCAACACUGACACUGAUGAGCGAAAGCCAGGGAGGCAAACGGG
RNAcentral lists this ribosomal RNA (251 nucleotides) under uncultured bacterium. RNAcentral describes it as "partial 16S ribosomal RNA". It matches the Rfam family "Bacterial small subunit ribosomal RNA", at positions 524 to 776 of the family's 1533-position model. The record is from RNAcentral.